RNAcentral lists this long non-coding RNA (740 nucleotides) under Cavia porcellus (domestic guinea pig). RNAcentral's name for it is "lncRNA (ENSCPOG00000040167.1)". The record is from RNAcentral. Lineage: Eukaryota; Metazoa; Chordata; Mammalia; Rodentia; Caviidae.
CGCGUGCGCGCGGAGCGAGGACUGCGGAACCCCAGGCGCGGGAGCCGCACCAGCUGCGGGCUAGCUGUGGAAUGCGUGGCCGGACAAGUUUGCUCCAGCUGCCAGAGGCAGGCUCCAGCCGCGGCUCGCGCGCUCCCUCCGGGUCCCCGCGCCCGGGUAGGAUGGAAGAAACCUGGCAGCUAGACGGAAAGGAAACGUGGUGAGGACCAGGACAACACCAGUGUGUCCAGAGCAGACACCACUGCGCUUGCUUUGCUUGAGAAAGGAUAAAGGAAGAGAAGCUGCAGCUGCUCUGGGCGCAGACAGCAAACAAGCCUCACUGUGUGGCCCCUUCACAAAAGGGGCUGCAGAAAGCCGGCAAACAGAUGCGUUCUGCCGAAGACAUCCACAGAUCCACCUGCCACGAUGAUUAAAGGUUCAAAGGACUGUCCAGGAAUUGAACUCAGGACCUUGUGUUGCCAGUCAGGUGCAGUGUUACUGAGCUACAUCUCUGGCCCUGUGCUAAUAAUCUUAGCUGCUGAAAGUAAGUCAUUGUAUGUAUGAGGUUAGAUUAAGCCAGGGCUGGUAGCACACACCUGUGAUCCUAGAAAUCAGGAAAUCCCAAAUUCAAGCCCAGCUAACCUGGGCUUACAGUGAGAACUUGUCUCAAAGAAACUAAUAGGAAGAAUUAUUAUAGGUACAUCUUAAGUAGUUCUUAAAAUGUUAAACUGACUUUUAAGCUCUAAAAAAGAACAAAUUCA